RNAcentral lists this long non-coding RNA (228 nucleotides) under Homo sapiens (human). RNAcentral describes it as "non-protein coding lnc-SYT10-6:1". The record is from RNAcentral. Lineage: Eukaryota; Metazoa; Chordata; Mammalia; Primates; Hominidae.
CCUACUUCCAAGCAUAAAUAAGGAGCCUGACCUAGACUACAUUUGAAUUGUUCCAGGAUAAUGGGAGUCAUUAACCAGGGUUCACCUGCUCGGAUUGGACAAAAAGGCUCCUUUCUCUCUGGUUAGGAACUAAAAUUGUCUGCAUUCCUAUCUGCUGACAUUAAACAAAACAAAAAAUGGUGUACACAUUCAAAGAGAAGGAAAGAAGAGGGGAAAGUAGGUAAUGAG